This 3141-nucleotide long non-coding RNA is filed under the name Pan troglodytes (chimpanzee). Its description in RNAcentral is "long non-coding RNA NONPTRT009110". Lineage: Eukaryota; Metazoa; Chordata; Mammalia; Primates; Hominidae. The record is from RNAcentral.
GCCCCUUCCCAAGUCAAGGGCAGGCUCACCGCUGCUGUGACACUGAUCCUUUAUGGCUGUGUUCUCUUUCUAGGGAUAACAGGAAUCGAUCAAGUGUUGAACGUCCUUCUCACAACUGCUAUGUUUGUAGGGGGCUGUGUGGCUUUUAUCCUGGAUAACACCAUCCCAGGUGUACUCCAGAGGAAAGAGGAAUCCGGAAAUGGAAGAAGGGUGUGGGCAAAGGGAACAAAUCACUCGACGGCAUGGAGUCGUACAAUUUGCCAUUUGGCAUGAACAUUAUAAAAAAAUACAGAUGCUUCAGCUACUUACCCAUCAGCCCAACCUUUGUGGGCUACACAUGGAAAGGCCUCAGGAAGAGCGACAACAGCCGGAGUUCAGACGAAGACUCCCAGGCCACGGGAUAGCCUUUGCUGUGCCCUGUGGCCUGGCCGCAGUGAGGCAUGUAUCUGUAGUUCCUUGCUGGGUAACAAGAAGUAAAAUACAUGUUUGUAUAUCUACAUUUACAUUCUGCGCCCCAGAGCUAAGACAGACUGCGAAUCACUUUUCUGCUGUGAGGGUGAUGGUGCCUGAUACGGUGUCUCGCCUAUCUCCUUAUUUAAGCCCUUAACUCCUUGCCCUUUGAGAGUGUCCAUUGCUGGCCAUGGUCACUAAAUUUGAAGUUCCAGUCCUCCCUUUGGAGUGGACAUUUAAAAUCUGCAGCGAUUCCUUGCUUCAGUUCCCUUCCACCACCCAGGGCUGGCUUUCCUAUAAGCCACCUCCAGGGUCCAGGGGCUUUCUCUCUCUCUCCGAAGCGCCUGGACCUGUUUCCUUGUCAUUUGACCCUCGUCUGUGCCCGCGGAGACCUCCUCUGACCAAGGGGCACUAGUAUGCCUUGCGCUAUCAUGACUGACUGGCCCAGUAUGAUUCUGUUGUCGCUGAUCUCCCGGAGGAGGAGCCUGUUGACCUGAAAACAGUGGCGUGGCUCCCCUGUGCCCAGAUCUGGCCGUGGGUAAGGCCUGCACAGAUGUCGAAUGAACAUCUGUUUGGGGCAUUGGAGGGAAAAGGAAAGGACCCUGAAGCCAAUAUCUGAUUCUCGGCUGCGCCUUCUCUUGGCCACCCUGGCCCCGACCGGGCCAGCACGUGCACACUGGCCUCUUUUCAUUUCACUAGUGGCCGAGACACCCUCUCUGGCAUUUAUCACUGUUAGCCGGUGUGAUGAGUAUAGAGUGCCACCCAAGGCACCAGUCACACAAGCUGAUGGGCGUCUUGGCUGUGCCGUCAUGUGGAUGUUAUUGUCGCGCGCGUCUAUAAUUACAAGGUUUUAUUCCUAUUUAAUGUUAUUGACUAUAGCAGAUUUUGGAAAUCAGUGUUUUCCAUGUGACCCUCUUUCCUUGCAUCCCUAUUCCUUGUCCCCCACCCACUCUUCCCCCCAUCAAGAAAAGAACCAGCAUUUGUAAAGCUGUGGACACCAUCAGGGAAGCUUGUUGUAACGGCUUUUGAAGGCCAAUAACCAUUGUUGUGGUUGUGUUUUGUAUUGCUUGAUACCAUGAAAGUGUAAAUACUGUAAUGCCUAAUCUAUUUAUCAAAACUGACUACUGGACCAGAGCCCAGAAACCGUGGGUCAAGUUACACGUGAAUUUGUCUUGUGAAGAAGGGAAGCUGGGGCAGGUAACACGCAGAGCCGCCACGUGGGACGGUCUGUCCGCCGGCCGGUCCCGCUUGCCGGGCUCCUGUUGCAAGUCGCUUCUGGCAGUCUUGGCUUAAGGAGACUUCCUGUGGGUUGCCACGUUGCACGUCCGUUAGAUCUUGAUUUUACAGGUGAGGGUGGUUGCCAAAGGUGAUAAGAAAAGCAGCCAACAGGCUCCCUCUCACUUAAGAGAGUUCUAAUUAAUAACACUAAAUUCUUCCUGAGAAAUGGCUCCUCUUGGUUUGGUUUGAAGUUUUUCAGUGAAGGGAAAGGCCUGAGAUAGGAAGCAGCGCCCUCGCUUCAUGAGGUGGCGCAUCUUCGGUGGCCGUUGGCCUGGUCGAGCUUUGCUCAGCUGCGUGGGUGCCUGUCUCCUGUCUCCAGCGGCCGGGCAUGGUUCUUGGCAGCCUGGUGUCCACACAGUGCAUUCCUGUCCCCCUCGGCCCCAGGCUGGCCCAGCUCUCCAGUGCUGUGGCGCUGUCUCUGCAGCAUUGCCAUGUCACCGUAGCCCCCUUCACUCUGGGAAGUUUGGGGCUUCAAGGUUUAUUCUGGCAAGAACACCUCGGAGCCACUGCAUUGUUUUGCCAAAAACUUACUGCAGAUUAAGUAAAGAACUUAGAUGCUAAAUUACAUCCAAUUUUGUAUGUUUUUUUGAAUGUGUCUUUGAUGCAUACUUUACAAGCACACUGGCUCGCGGUUUCCAUCCCUCUUGCCUUGGGACACUCUUGAGGCUGGCAGCCCUCCUGCAAUGAGUUGCUCUCAGUUCCUUCUGUUUGGAUUUUGCUCAACAUCUCCAGUUUCUCUGCUCUGAAAAAUGGGGAAAACUGCUAAACAUCCCAAAGAUUUGCAAUCUUCUAGCUCUCCAGGUGAGCAGAAAGACCAAAUAUCCAAAUAAAAGCCUGAAAGCCAUUGGUGAUCCAGGGGCACCUUCUCUUCAGCUUGACUGGGCGUCUUCCUCUGCAUAACACUCAAGGUGUCUGCUCUAGUCAUCCAAAAACCCACUCCCUUCUGAAGCCCCUCCUUGGGCUGGGUUUUAUCAGGAGGAUUCAACUCCGCUAACAUGUGGGGUGCCCUCUGUAGGCCUUCACACGGGGAAGGAAGCCCUACCCUUUCAACUGCUGUUGGAAUGAGAGUUUCCUGUUCUGAUUCCACUGUGGCCAACCCGAUAAUUCUGUCCGAGGAGGGGUAAGGGAAUAGGAGGUGGGGAGCAAAGAGGGCAGCCUGACUAGAUGCCCCUGCUGAAUCUGGUACUUUCUGCACAGCCUUGAGUGAUUGGAGUCCCCUAAUGACUAAUAAACUUGAACAUGUAACACACACACACACACACACACACACACACACACACACACACACACCAUUUUAGGAAGUGGUUCUCCUACUGGAAAAUAUGCUACAGAAUGAAAGUUUGUAAUUGAAAGAAAAAGAAUGUAUUCAUCUGCUUCUUGGGUUUAAGCACACACCUGAAGGGGAGAUAUUGG